GAUGGACGCUAGCGAUAGGCUUAACACAUGCAAGUCGAGGGGCAGCAUGGUCUUAGCUUGCUAAGACUGAUGGCGACCGGCGCACGGGUGCGUAACGCGUAUGCAACUUGCCUCACAGAGGGGGAUAACCCGUCGAAAGACGGACUAAUACCGCGUACACUUGGGAUAGGGCAUCCUGACCCAAGGAAAUGAAAUUCGCUGUGAGAUAGGCAUGCGUCCCAUUAGCUAGUUGGUGAGGUAACGGCUCACCAAGGCGACGAUGGGUAGGGGAACUGAGAGGUUGAACCCCCGCACUGGUACUGAGACACGGACCAGACUCCUACGGGAGGCAGCAGUGAGGAAUAUUGGUCAAUGGGCGAGAGCCUGAACCAGCCAAGUCGCGUGAAGGAUGACUGUCUUAUGGAUUGUAAACUUCUUUUAUACGGGAAUAACAAGAGCCACGUGUGGCUCCCUGCAUGUACCGUAUGAAUAAGCAUCGGCUAACUCCGUG
This 490-nucleotide ribosomal RNA is filed under the name uncultured bacterium. RNAcentral's name for it is "partial 16S ribosomal RNA". It matches the Rfam family "Bacterial small subunit ribosomal RNA", at positions 28 to 507 of the family's 1533-position model. The record is from RNAcentral.